This 70-nucleotide transfer RNA is filed under the name Dipodomys ordii (Ord's kangaroo rat). It matches the Rfam family "tRNA". From Rfam's summary of the family: Transfer RNA (tRNA) molecules are approximately 80 nucleotides in length. Their secondary structure includes four short double-helical elements and three loops (D, anti-codon, and T loops). Lineage: Eukaryota; Metazoa; Chordata; Mammalia; Rodentia; Heteromyidae. The record is from Rfam by way of RNAcentral.
GGGAAUGUGGCCUAGUGGUAAAGUGCUUGCCUAGCAUGCAUGAAGCCCUGGGUUUGAUUCCUCAUUACCA